RNAcentral lists this long non-coding RNA (884 nucleotides) under Vigna radiata. Its description in RNAcentral is "long non-coding RNA (VRAD_LNC007606)". The record is from RNAcentral. Lineage: Eukaryota; Viridiplantae; Streptophyta; Magnoliopsida; Fabales; Fabaceae.
UUCAUAAUCGUGUGUAACAACCGUGUUCUCUUGCUCUCUGCAGAACUCCUAAGGUUUUCUCGCUCCGUCACCAAAGCGCAAUUGCAGCGAACGCAACACUCUCCUUGGCACAUCUCCGUUACUCUCGAAAACGACACUCUCCUUGGCACGUCUCUGUCACUCUCUUCGUCCCGUUCGAUUCAAAUAAGAAUUCUCCGAGGUCAAUUUCAUUGAGCAAAUGUCGGUUGCAAAGAAGUUGAUUAGAUGUGUUAUCCUUGACUUGGACGACACGCUGCUCAACACAGGUUUGUUGCCAUUCUUUAACAUAGAAUAUUUGUCUUUGCUCACACAGUUGAAGCAUAUAAUCGAGUAGCUUCAUUUUUUUUUCUUCCUAAUUGGAGCUAUAUAUUCUAUAACGCUGGAGAUUGCGAAUGUUUCGAUGCAGAUGGCUUCAGGAACCUUUGGCUUCUUGUGUUUCUUUUCCUUUGGUUUUGUGUGCUAACAUAAGUAUGGUCUUGUUUUUUCUUUUAUUUUCUAUGCGUGCAGGAUGGAAGAAUUUUCUCUGUUAUAAUUGGUGGAGAUGAAGUAAGAACAGGGAAACCUUCCCCAGAAAUGUGAGAUGCAGUGGUGUAUUCUCUAGCUUUGAUUAUUGAGGGUCGGUCACCUGAUUUCUACAUUUGAAUGUUCUUCGUCUUCUAAAACUUUUAUAGUGUGUUGUGAUGUUAGAUUCCUUGAAGCUACUAGCAGGAUAAACAUUGAGCCCUCCAGCUGUCUUGUCAUUGAAGAUACUGUGUGAGUUCCUUGAUUCCUGUCUUUCUCCCAGUAUUUUAUCUUUCAUAUUGUUGAACAAACUUAAACGUGGAUAGUUGCAUUAAAUAGUUUGUUGUUAUAAUAAUGGUGUUAGA